AUAGGUCUUUUGGUAAAGCUCUCAGGAUUUCCUAUAUACUAGAUCACAUCUUCUGCCAGAGACCAGGUUCUUCUUCUCUUUGGUCAGGACGCUUAUUUCUUUUCCUGUUUAUGAUGAUUAGAACUGUCAGUGAUUCUUUUGAAGGGAUGAGAACAAAUUCCCUUUCUCCUGAUUGGAGAAACAGUUCAGUCUUUCACUGCAAUACUCAGAUUGAGGGAGAAGUUCUUCAUCUCUUAGUUUUUGAGUACUUUAUGAUAAAAUGUUGGGCAAAUGUUUUAUAAUUGCUGCUUUUAUAAGAAUCUUACUACUUCAAACUAAUAUUUUAGAUGAACAGGUAUUUUUUAGAAUAACAUACCAUUGCUUAUGUCUUCCUUGUCUAAAUGAAUUUUAUGGGUUGUUCACUUUCAAUGAACAAAGAUUAAUUUUUCAAUUUUCCUUAUUUUCUUCCACCCCUCUUUUCUUUUCUUUUUUUUAAAUAGGAGUAACUUUAUUUAUGGCUCAUAUUUGAGUAAAGAAGAAAUUGCUUUCUCAGAUCCCACUCCUGAUGGAAAGCUGUUUGCAACACAGUACUGUGGCACUGGUCAGUUUCUGGUCUAUAAUUUUAUCAAUGGACAGAAUACCACCUAAUACCGAUCCUGCUUACUGUGCCAGAAGACAUCUUUGAAGAGAAAGAAUUGGUUGCUGACUUUAUCCAGGAACUAGGGCCAUUUUUUUACAAAUGAACUCAGGACUGGCAACAACCAUAUGGUUGUUCCAUUUUCAUAAAAUUGGAAACAAUGCAGUAAUAGCUUAUUAUUGUUUUGUUUUUUUAAAGAAGAUAUUUUAUUAUCUUUUACAGAAAUUUAUGAUUGUAUUUUAUCUAUAGUUAUUUAGACAUGUUUACAUGCAGCAGAUAAUUGUUCAUAGUGGACUGAAAAUUAAUGCAAGGACUAUGGUCUCAGUGAUAAGUAUAUUUUGAAGUUCUUAAUAUGGAAAUAUACCAGUGUAGCUUGGUACUGUAUUUUUUUAUAUUGAUCUACCGAUACCAGUUAUAGGUUUAAAGACUGUAUUUUCAAAGUGAAAAACCAAUGCUUUUGAGUUACUAUUCAAAGAGAGUACAGUAUUACACAUUUAAGAAUUUGAAGUUACUAAAGUAUACUCUAAGGAGACCCCACAGGAAAGGAGAGCUCCAAGUAAAAGAACUUGUAUAA
This 1190-nucleotide long non-coding RNA is filed under the name Rattus norvegicus (Norway rat). RNAcentral describes it as "long non-coding RNA NONRATT013656". Lineage: Eukaryota; Metazoa; Chordata; Mammalia; Rodentia; Muridae. The record is from RNAcentral.